GAUGAACGCUGGCGGCGUGCUUAACACAUGCAAGUCGAACGGAAAGGCGCCUGCUUGCAGGGGUACUCGAGUGGCGAAGGGGGGAGUAACACGUGGGUGAACUGCACUGCACUUAGGGAUAAGACUGGGAAACUGGGUCUAAUACCGGAGAGGACGAUGGGUUGGAUGCCAUUGUGGAGAGUUUUUUCGGUGUGGGGUGAGCUCGCGGCCUAUCAGCUUGUUGGUGGGGUAUUGGCAUACCAAGGCGUCGACGGGUAGCCGGCCUGAGAGGGUGUACGGCCACCUUGCGACUGCGAUACGCACCAGACUCCUACGGUAGGCAGCAGUGGGGAGUAUGGCACAAUGGCGGCACGCCUGAUGCGGCGACGCCGCGUGGGGGAUGACCGCUUUCGGGUUGUGAACUCCUUUCGCUAGGGACGAAGCGCAAGUGACGGUACCUGGAGAAGAAGCCCCGGCUAACUACGUG
Molecule: ribosomal RNA, 466 nt
Filed under: uncultured bacterium
Lineage: Bacteria
Description: partial 16S ribosomal RNA
Rfam family: Bacterial small subunit ribosomal RNA
Source: RNAcentral